RNAcentral lists this ribosomal RNA (413 nucleotides) under Neotoma nelsoni (Nelson' woodrat). RNAcentral's name for it is "partial 12S ribosomal RNA". It matches the Rfam family "Bacterial small subunit ribosomal RNA", at positions 768 to 1383 of the family's 1533-position model. Lineage: Eukaryota; Metazoa; Chordata; Mammalia; Rodentia; Cricetidae. The record is from RNAcentral.
CAAACUGGGAUUAGAUACCCCACUAUGCUUAGCCCUAAACCCUAAUAAUUUAAUAACAAAAUUAUUUGCCCGAGAACUACUGGCCACAGCUUAAAACUCAAAGGACUUGGCGGUACUUUAUAUCCAUCUAGAGGAGCCUGUUCUAUAAUCGAUAAACCCCGUUAUACCUUACCACUCCUUGCUAAUUCAGCCUAUAUACCGCCAUCUUCAGCAAACCUUAAAAAAGAACAACAGUAAGCAAGAGAAUUACCAUAAAAACGUUAGGUCAAGGUGUAGCCUAUGGAGUGGAAAGUAAUGGGCUACAUUUUCUAAAUAAGAACAUUACGAAACCCUUUAUGAAAUCUAAAGGACAAAGGAGGAUUUAGUAGUAAAUUAAGAAUAGAGUGCCUAAUCGAAAAGCGCAACGAAGUACG